UUACGUUGGUAUCUUCUUCCAUUGGCCUACUGCAAAAGACAGAAACCAAAAACAGAGUGUUAGAAAGCAAUAUCAAAUAGAAGACGAAGCUAAGCGAAGCCAAGAACCCUUACCUCAUGUUGGCUUGAAGCAAACUCUGCUCGUCCGAAGAAAAGGGGGUUUUACCUCUAGCUAAAUCGCGCCUUUGGUUUUCCAAAUAUCUCACCGGAAGAAGAAGAGAAGAAUGAGGAGAAA
Long non-coding RNA from Brassica rapa (field mustard), 234 nucleotides. RefSeq lists it as uncharacterized. The record is from RefSeq and is a predicted model, not a curated record. NCBI's taxonomy places the organism in Eukaryota, Viridiplantae, Streptophyta, Magnoliopsida, Brassicales, Brassicaceae.